Molecule: long non-coding RNA, 836 nt
Organism: Oncorhynchus tshawytscha (Chinook salmon)
Lineage: Eukaryota; Metazoa; Chordata; Actinopteri; Salmoniformes; Salmonidae
Exons: 4
Source: RefSeq, a predicted model, not a curated record
UCAUUCCCAAACCUGAAGCCCCCUGUCCCCAGCAGGAAAGACCAGGAAAAAGUGUUGGUUUAAGGUGCAGCAUCCUAUUGAGGAAAUAUCUAUUAGCGCAAUCACAGUCCUCACAGCUGCAGUCGUCUGACCCUGCACCUGCUACACCGGCCACGACAGAUGAUACAGAUCUGCCACCCCCAGCAGUUCAGCUGCAGUCACAGUAGUCCUCUGCUGUGGUAUUUCAUUUACCGGCUGCACCAGUUCUUACUACACUGGCUGCGAAGGGAGAAACUUUUGAGGAUUCCCAGAUGGAUACAGAUCUGCCAUGCACUCCACCACUGCCCCUGAUAGCCUCUCCCAGAAGUGCAUACACCGGGUCUAUCACUAUUGACAAAGCAGAGAUAGGUGGCUGACAAGGAAAAAUAAAACAACAUCCCACACACACACACACAUUAUCCCCAAUGUAAAUACAUUGUAAUUACUUCAUUAUUUUAUUUUAGGAUUGGAGAUAUCUACACCUACAUAUUCAUUAUCAAUAACUACAUAAUUACUCUAAGAAUCUUUCCAAUCAGUGUGAUUGAUAAUAUUGUAAGAGUAUUGCUUAAUUUGUAGUUUGAGAAAACUCAGUGUGCUUUUUUGAGUUGAAAAACAUUCUUCUCACACACACACACACACACACACACACACACACACACACACACACACACACACACACACACACACACACACACACACACACACACACACACACAACCUUAAUAAUGUAAAUACAUUAUUUAAUGUAGGCUCCAUUAAUUUUUUAUUUUAUUUUUUAUUUUUUAUAAUUAAUUUGUUUAAAAAAAAAAUGUUUUUAG